AAAUGCGAUAAGUAAUGUGAAUUGCAGAAUUCAGUGAAUCAUCGAAUCUUCGAACGCACAUUGCGCCCGCCAGCACUCUGGCGGGCAUGCCUGUUCGAGCGUCAUUUCAACCCUCAGAACCCCUUGCGGGAUCUGGCGUUGGGGAUUGGCAUCCAGCCAGCCCCGAAAUCUAGUGGCGGUCCCUCCGCGACCUCCCCUGUGCAGUAGCGAUACCUCGCAGCGGGACAGCGGUCUGACCACGCCGUAAAACCCCCAACUUCUCAAGGUUGACCUCGAAUCAGGUAGGAAUACCCGCUGAACUUAAGC
RNAcentral lists this unclassified non-coding RNA (306 nucleotides) under plant metagenome. RNAcentral describes it as "partial contains 5.8S ribosomal RNA, internal transcribed spacer 2, and large subunit ribosomal RNA". The stretch from base 1 to 104 matches the Rfam family "5.8S ribosomal RNA", at positions 51 to 154 of the family's 154-position model. The record is from RNAcentral.